GAACGCUGGCGGCAUGCCUUACACAUGCAAGUCGAACGGCAGCACGGAGCAAUCCUGGUGGCGAGUGGCGAACGGGUGAGUAAUAUAUCGGAACGUGCCCAGUCGUGGGGGAUAACGUAGCGAAAGCUACGCUAAUACCGCAUACGAUCUACGGAUGAAAGCGGGGGAUCGCAAGACCUCGCGCGAUUGGAGCGGCCGAUAUCAGAUUAGGUAGUUGGUGAGGUAAAGGCUCACCAAGCCGACGAUCUGUAGCUGGUCUGAGAGGACGACCAGCCACACUGGGACUGAGACACGGCCCAGACUCCUACGGGAGGCAGCAGUGGGGAAUUUUGGACAAUGGGCGCAAGCCUGAUCCAGCAAUGCCGCGUGCAGGAUGAAGGCCUUCGGGUUGUAAACUGCUUUUGUACGGAACGAAACGGUGAGCUCUAAUACAGUUUGCUAAUGACGGUACCGUAAGAAUAAGCACCGGCUAACUACGUG
RNAcentral lists this ribosomal RNA (480 nucleotides) under uncultured bacterium. RNAcentral describes it as "bacterial SSU rRNA". It matches the Rfam family "Bacterial small subunit ribosomal RNA", at positions 31 to 507 of the family's 1533-position model. The record is from RNAcentral.